Phyllopteryx taeniolatus (common seadragon) is the source of this 743-nucleotide long non-coding RNA. RefSeq lists it as uncharacterized. The transcript has 2 exons. NCBI's taxonomy places the organism in Eukaryota, Metazoa, Chordata, Actinopteri, Syngnathiformes, Syngnathidae. The record is from RefSeq and is a predicted model, not a curated record.
GACUGUUUAAAUACCAAUUCCAAUUGAACCAGGAAAUGUAUCAGUCCAUUCAAGGAUCAAACAGCAGUUUUGAAUUUUGUCUUUCAGCUCCUUAGAGAACAAGUUGUGCGAACACUACUGAAACACUGAAAAGUUGGAAACGUUAAGAAAACGUCAAAUUAAGUUCACCACUUCACUUGUAAAGGUUAUAAAGUAGUGCAUUGUAGGGUUAUGUAGAAAUUUUCACUGGAAAUCAUAUAGUGUAUGUCCAUGUCUUAAUGUUGUAGUAUUUGAGCGAAGGCUCAGCAUAGACAUCUAACCCGCCCAGUUUAUCAUAACUUGCUGCACUUGAAAGGUUGUAUUGUUGUGUCAUGCACAACCCACGAGUGCAACUGGGAGGUUAUUAGAGUCACACACCUGCUCCAGGUGGAGGAAAGAGGGGGCAGUCUGCAGCGGGAGCCCAGAGAAUAAAAUGAAGGAAACGGGAAGGAAAUGACGAAGGCUUUUCUCUGAACCCACACAACUACCACUCUCCCUUUGUCAUCCUGUAUGGAAACUUCGACUCGCACAAACACACAUGCGCAUGCACAGUAUGUUGUUGUUGUGACGAGGAUGAAAAGUUGGGUACACAGACAUAACAGCAUAGAGACAAAGAAAAGAAAUAAGGCGAAAAAGCAGUUGGUGCUCUACUCAGUGCCAUUCUAGUUUGAUAUGAUCAGUUAGGCAGUCUAAUGUUGCUCAUUAAAAAGUAAAUAUAUUUGAAA